AAGUCGUAACAAGGUUUCCGUAGGUGAACCUGCGGAAGGAUCAUUAAUGAUUUUAGCUAACCAUGGCUAUUUUAGCCAUGGUUAUGCGAAAUUUUGUAUUUAAAACCCCACCCUUUAUAAUAAAAAUUUAUUAUAUUUAUGAUAAAAAUAAGAUCACUUUCAACAACGGAUCUCUUGGCUCUC
Molecule: unclassified non-coding RNA, 183 nt
Filed under: Oehlia diaphana
Lineage: Eukaryota; Fungi; Glomeromycota; Glomeromycetes; Glomerales; Glomeraceae
Description: partial internal transcribed spacer region
Rfam family: Eukaryotic small subunit ribosomal RNA (bases 1-46)
Source: RNAcentral